CUUGGGCUGGAUUCACACGUUAGGCCCACGAAUAUUUGGCAGCCCUAUUUUAGACGACUCAUCCCUGGGCGAGUCAAGAUCAAGCUCAUCAACUAGAAGAAAUUGAGAGGAAGUGGUAUGGAGAAGAGGCAUAUUUCGGUUUUUGCGUGAAUCUAACGCCUAGCUAUUGCUCUUGCUGUUGCGUAUGCGGUUCGUUAGAUUCACGCACAAACCCGUAAUAUGUCUUUUCGUUGUUUUUUCCCCUGCAAUUCGGAUUUGCUGCUGUUCAUCGGGUUAGAUGAACUAGAUCUGCUUUGAAUCCAUUGGAAAUGAUCUGUGAAUGAAGGUACGAACUAUCCACUAUCUGUUUUGAGUUUGAGGUUAUGCAUUAUUCUGCAUUCUUGCUGUGAACUUAAGCUUCUUCCCUUUCUAAAACUAUACAGAUGACAUUUUGCUUGAGAAUUUAAUUUUUUAACAUAUGAACAAAGGAUUUAAAUGUUUAUUCCUGCUGCUCUUUGGCAAGACUCUGGAAUAUAUUCAGCUCCAAUUGAUGUAACAGUAUUUCUGAGGCCUAGUUAUGAUGAUGAGAAAUAAUAUCAAUCAUUUCUUCUAAAUGAAAAGAUGAAUGUAAAUUUUAGCAUUUAUUUGAAUGAGUAAUAAAUAAGGAUUUACCUAUAUUUCACACGUCAGAGUGAUGACGUGACCAGCAUACUGAUUUCAUUCACCUGAAUCCUUUGUUAUCUAUGCCUCUGCCUCUGUUAAUUUCUUAAUUAUAAAGAUUUUCUACCUGCAGCACUGAGUAAAUCAUUUUCCAUUAUUUCUACAGUAGGCCUUGUGUGAUCAGGCUUAUUUCAUUUUUUAAUGCUUAGUACUAGUCGUUCUGUGUUUCUUUUCUAAGUGCAAUCUGAAAGUUAAGAUUAGGAAAGAACAACAAUUUCAUCAAGUAAUUCAUAUUACAAGUUGACCCGACAAACCUUCUCUGGCCUCUAGCAUCUAAGUUUGCACAUUAUUCCUGUUUUUAUAAUGAUCUAACUCAUCUAUAUGGUUUUGGGGAAAGAUGUUGCUCAGAUCUUUGUCUGAACUGUAAUAUCUGAGUUCGGGUCUUUAAAACUAAGAUGUCUUAGAAGAGUAUUGGGAUUUCUUUCUAGCA
This is a long non-coding RNA of Ipomoea nil (Japanese morning glory), 1129 nucleotides long. RefSeq lists it as uncharacterized. Lineage: Eukaryota; Viridiplantae; Streptophyta; Magnoliopsida; Solanales; Convolvulaceae. The transcript has 2 exons. The record is from RefSeq and is a predicted model, not a curated record.